Molecule: non-coding RNA, 98 nt
Organism: Mycena olivaceomarginata
Lineage: Eukaryota; Fungi; Basidiomycota; Agaricomycetes; Agaricales; Mycenaceae
Source: the annotation of a GenBank genome assembly
GACCCAGUGGCGGAUGGUCCGUGCCUGCUCAACAUACGGCUAUCUCCUCGAACAGUUGCGUUAUGCAGGUGUUGCUCGUUCGAAUCGAGCCUGGGUCG